RNAcentral lists this ribosomal RNA (200 nucleotides) under uncultured prokaryote. Its description in RNAcentral is "partial 16S ribosomal RNA". It matches the Rfam family "Bacterial small subunit ribosomal RNA", at positions 1183 to 1382 of the family's 1533-position model. The record is from RNAcentral.
CGUCAAAUCAUCAUGCCCCUUAUGUCUUGGGCUUCACGCAUGCUACAAUGGCCGGUACAGAGGGCUGCGAUACCGUAAGGUGGAGCGAAUCCCAAAAAGCCGGUCUCAGUUCGGAUUGCAGUCUGCAACUCGACUGCAUGAAGUCGGAAUCGCUAGUAAUCGCGAAUCAGCAUGUCGCGGUGAAUACGUUCCCGGGUCUU